UACGAAGGGGGCUAGCGUUGCUCGGAAUGACUGGGCGUAAAGGGCGCGUAGGCGGUUUGCACAGUCAGGCGUGAAAUUCCUGGGCUUAACCUGGGGGCUGCGCUUGAUACGUGUGGACUGGAGUGCGGAAGAGGGUCGUGGAAUUCCCAGUGUAGAGGUGAAAUUCGUAGAUAUUCGCAAGAACACCAGUGGCGAAGGCGGCUCACUGGCCCGGUACUGACGCUGAGGUGCGAAAGCGUGGGGAGCAAACAGG
This 253-nucleotide ribosomal RNA is filed under the name uncultured bacterium. RNAcentral describes it as "partial 16S ribosomal RNA". It matches the Rfam family "Bacterial small subunit ribosomal RNA", at positions 524 to 776 of the family's 1533-position model. The record is from RNAcentral.